RNAcentral lists this ribosomal RNA (497 nucleotides) under uncultured bacterium. Its description in RNAcentral is "partial 16S ribosomal RNA". It matches the Rfam family "Bacterial small subunit ribosomal RNA", at positions 28 to 507 of the family's 1533-position model. The record is from RNAcentral.
GAUGAACGCUGGCGGCGUGCCUAAUACAUGCAAGUCGAGCGAACAGACGAGGAGCUUGCUCCUCUGACGUUAGCGGCGGACGGGUGAGUAACACGUGGAUAACCUACCUAUAAGACUGGGAUAACUUCGGGAAACCGGAGCUAAUACCGGAUAAUAUAUUGAACCGCAUGGUUCAAUAGUGAAAGACGGUUUUGCUGUCACUUAUAGAUGGAUCCGCGCCGCAUUAGCUAGUUGGUAAGGUAACGGCUUACCAAGGCGACGAUGCGUAGCCGACCUGAGAGGGUGAUCGGCCACACUGGAACUGAGACCCGGUCCAGACUCCUACGGGAGGCAGCAGUAGGGAAUCUUCCGAAAUGGGCGAAAGCCUGACGGAGCAACGCCGCGUGAGUGAUGAAGGUCUUCGGAUCGUAAAACUCUGUUAUUAGGGAAGAACAAAUGUGUAAGUAACUAUGCACGUCUUGACGGUACCUAAUCAGAAAGCCACGGCUAACUACGUG